This 1491-nucleotide ribosomal RNA is filed under the name uncultured bacterium. Its description in RNAcentral is "bacterial SSU rRNA". It matches the Rfam family "Bacterial small subunit ribosomal RNA". The record is from RNAcentral.
GAGAGUUUGAUCCUGGCUCAGGAUGAACGCUAGCUACAGGCUUAACACAUGCAAGUCGAGGGGCAGCAUGGUCUUAGCUUGCUAAGGCCGAUGGCGACCGGCGCACGGGUGAGUAACACGUAUCCAACCUGCCGUCUACUCUUGGACAGCCUUCUGAAAGGAAGAUUAAUACAAGAUGGCAUCAUGAGUCCGCAUGUUCACAUGAUUAAAGGUAUUCCGGUAGACGAUGGGGAUGCGUUCCAUUAGAUAGUAGGCGGGGUAACGGCCCACCUAGUCUUCGAUGGAUAGGGGUUCUGAGAGGAAGGUCCCCCACAUUGGAACUGAGACACGGUCCAAACUCCUACGGGAGGCAGCAGUGAGGAAUAUUGGUCAAUGGGCGAGAGCCUGAACCAGCCAAGUAGCGUGAAGGAUGACUGCCCUAUGGGUUGUAACCUUCUUUUAUAAAGGAAUAAAGUCGGGUAUGGAUACCCGUUUGCAUGUACUUUAUGAAUAAGGAUCGGCUAACUCCGUGCCAGCAGCCGCGGUAAUACGGAGGAUCCGAGCGUUAUCCGGAUUUAUUGGGUUUAAAGGGAGCGUAGAUGGAUGUUUAAGUCAGUUGUGAAAGUUUGCGGCUCAACCGUAAAAUUGCAGUUGAUACUGGAUAUCUUGAGUGCAGUUGAGGCAGGCGGAAUUCGUGGUGUAGCGGUGAAAUGCUUAGAUAUCACGAAGAACUCCGAUUGCGAAGGCAGCCUGCUAAGCUGCAACUGACAUUGAGGCUCGAAAGUGUGGGUAUCAAACAGGAUUAGAUACCCUGGUAGUCCACACGGUAAACGAUGAAUACUCGCUGUUUGCGAUAUACUGCAAGCGGCCAAGCGAAAGCGUUAAGUAUUCCACCUGGGGAGUACGCCGGCAACGGUGAAACUCAAAGGAAUUGACGGGGGCCCGCACAAGCGGAGGAACAUGUGGUUUAAUUCGAUGAUACGCGAGGAACCUUACCCGGGCUUAAAUUGCAGAUGAAUUACGGUGAAAGCCGUAAGCCGCAAGGCAUCUGUGAAGGUGCUGCAUGGUUGUCGUCAGCUCGUGCCGUGAGGUGUCGGCUUAAGUGCCAUAACGAGCGCAACCCUUGUUGUCAGUUACUAACAGGUUCCGCUGAGGACUCUGACAAGACUGCCAUCGUAAGAUGUGAGGAAGGUGGGGAUGACGUCAAAUCAGCACGGCCCUUACGUCCGGGGCUACACACGUGUUACAAUGGGGGGUACAGAGGGCCGCUACCACGCGAGUGGAUGCCAAUCCCCAAAACCUCUCUCAGUUCGGACUGGAGUCUGCAACCCGACUCCACGAAGCUGGAUUCGCUAGUAAUCGCGCAUCAGCCACGGCGCGGUGAAUACGUUCCCGGGCCUUGUACACACCGCCCGUCAAGCCAUGGGAACCGGGGGUACCUGAAGUGCGUAACCGCGAGGAGCGCCCUAGGGUAAAACUGGUGACUGGGGCUAAGUCGUAACAAGGUAGCCG